GCAUGGGUAACGUACCCCGGGCACCGGGAUAGCAGCGUCUGCUUCGGCAGACUACCGAAAGGGCUGGUAAUACUGGAUGCUGUCAGGAACACUACGGUGUUUUUGAUCAAAGGUUGGGGAUCCACUUCGGUGGACCUAAUGGCCUGGGAGCGGCCCAUGUUCCAUCAGCUUGUUGGUAAGGUAACGGCUUACCAAGGCUGCGACGGAUACCGGGGCUGAGAGGCUGAUCCGGCACAUUGGGACUGAGACACUGCCCAGACCCCCACGGGGGGCUGCAGUAACGAAUCUUCCGCAAUGGGCGAAAGCCUGACGGAGCGACGCCGCGUGUGGGAUGANUUCCCUCGGGAUGUAAACCACUGUCAGGGCCAUGGAAGCAAUCCGCAGCAAUAUAGCGGGGCGCUGACCUAACCCAGAGGAAGCCACGGCUAACUUCGUGCCAGCAGCCGCGGUAAUACGAAGGUGGCAAGCGUUGUUCGGAAUAACUGGGCUUAAAGAGCACGUAGGCGGCUGGUCUAGCAUUUUGUGAAAUCCCUCGGCUUAACCGAGGAAUUGCGAGGUGAACUGGCCGGCUUGAGCUGCAGAUGGGUGACUGGAACUCUAGGUGGAGUGGUGAAAUGCGUAGAUAUCUAGAGGAACGCCAGUGGUGAAAACGGGUCACUGGCUGCAUGCUGACGCUGAGGUGCGAAAGCGUGGGUAGCGAACGGGAUUAGAUACCCCGGUAGUCCACGCCGUAAACGAUGGGCACUAGGUUCGGGGAAGUUUGACCUUUUCCGGGCCGAAGCUAAAGUACUAAGUGCCCCGCCUGGGGAGUACGGUCGCAAGGCUAAAACUCAAAGGAAUUGACGGGGGCUCACACAAGCGGUGGAGCAUGUGGCUCAAUUCGAGGCAACGCGAAGAACCUUAUCCUGGGCUUGACAUGGUUGGAUGCCCUCGUCGAAAGGCGAGUAAGCUGCCUUCGGGUGAAACUACCACAGGUGCUGCAUGGCUGUCGUCAGCUCGUGCUGUG
RNAcentral lists this ribosomal RNA (1006 nucleotides) under uncultured Planctomycetota bacterium. RNAcentral describes it as "bacterial SSU rRNA". It matches the Rfam family "Bacterial small subunit ribosomal RNA", at positions 115 to 1069 of the family's 1533-position model. The record is from RNAcentral. Lineage: Bacteria; Pseudomonadati; Planctomycetota.